AUGUCUGACGAUGAAAAGGAUUUCGGUAUUUGCAAAUACUGCGAAGACGAGCACGACCUGGGUGACGGAAUCUUCCUAGAUGAUGAUAGGCGCUUCAGUAUCAAGCUGGACGAGAACUUCGAAGUGGAUACACGUAUACCCUGCCAUGCAAUAGUUUUUGUAUUGGAUAAGAUAGGUUUCAGUCAUACAACAGAGGAAAAGAAAGUUUACUUGAAGACAGAGCAUGGUUAUAUUUUCCAUGCAAAAUUAUACAAUUCAGACGACUACACCUAUUUUGGAUGCAAAACAUGGCGAGCACUAUGCAAGACUUAUGCAUUUGAGCCUGAAUGGUUAUCACCUUUGAUAUUCGUCCGGAAGAUGAUAUUGAAGGUAAUACUGAAAUCUGGGUCGAUGUGCAGACGCCUCCAGUUAUACCAUUAUGUAAGUUUCUCAACCAUAUUUAUGUCUUUGGUAUUGUUUAUUCAAAAAUAG
This 471-nucleotide ribosomal RNA is filed under the name Triticum aestivum (bread wheat). RNAcentral's name for it is "partial small subunit ribosomal RNA". Lineage: Eukaryota; Viridiplantae; Streptophyta; Magnoliopsida; Poales; Poaceae. The record is from RNAcentral.